Molecule: long non-coding RNA, 491 nt
Organism: Octopus sinensis (East Asian common octopus)
Lineage: Eukaryota; Metazoa; Mollusca; Cephalopoda; Octopoda; Octopodidae
Exons: 4
Source: RefSeq, a predicted model, not a curated record
GAGGACACACUGAUUACACCAUCUUUGUACUUGACUCAUACUUAUUUUAUUAAUUACAGAGGAGAUGAAAAUAAAGUCAGACCCAAGUUACUUGAUGACCUCACCAAUGCAGGCAGUACAAGAAAGGUAUCCGGCCUUAGAAUCAUACUACAGCUGAUAUUGGAACGGCUUGUCAGAUCUUGUCAAGCUGUCCAACCCAUACCAGCACAGGAAAUGGAUGUAAAACAAGGGUACUGAUGAUACAUACAGGGUGGCCCAAAAAACAAAUUGUCAUAAAAGGUGCAAUUUUGGUGACUAUGACAUGAUUGUAAAUUGGUUUUCAAGUCAGCCAGAUGGAUGACAUAGAAAGCAGACAUGCUGCCAGGCCAUGCUGCUUUGCGCAGGAUUGGAAAGGUGAAACAUCAACAGGGCACUUCUGGAGAACAGAUGAAUUGAUUUUUUGUGCCUUUAUUCAGCGAUACACACAUACAUAUAGCUCAGUGGUGCACAGG